UACGUAGGGUGCAGGCGUUAAUCGGAAUUACUGGGCGUAAAGCGUGCGCAGGCGGUCUUUUAAGUCAGAUGUGAAAUCCCCGGGCUUAACCUGGGAACUGCGUUUGAAACUGGAAGGCUAGAGUGUGGCAGAGGGGGGUGGAAUUCCACGUGUAGCAGUGAAAUGCGUAGAGAUGUGGAGGAACACCGAUGACGAAGGCAGCCCCCUGGGCUAACACUGACGCUCAUGCACGAAAGCGUGGGGAGCAAACAGG
Molecule: ribosomal RNA, 253 nt
Filed under: uncultured bacterium
Lineage: Bacteria
Description: partial 16S ribosomal RNA
Rfam family: Bacterial small subunit ribosomal RNA
Source: RNAcentral